UGGGGAAUAUUGGACAAUGGGCGCAAGCCUGAUCCAGCCAUGCCGCGUGAGUGAAGAAGGCCCUAGGGUUGUAAAGCUCUUUCACCGGGGAAGAUAAUGACGGUAACCGGAGAAGAAGCCCCGGCUAACUUCGUGCCAGCAGCCGCGGUAAUACGAAGGGGGCUAGCGUUGUUCGGAUUGACUGGGCGUAAAGCGCACGUAGGCGGACUUUUAAGUCAGGGGUGAAAUCCCGGGGCUCCACCACGGAACUGCCUUUGAUACUGGAAGUCUGGAGUAUUGUAGAGGUGGAUGGAAUUCCGAGUGUAGAGGUGAAAUUCGUAGAUAUUCGGAGGAACACCAGUGGCGAAGGCGGCUCACUGGACGAUUACUGCCGCUGAGGUGCGAAAGCGUGGGGAGCAAACAGG
Molecule: ribosomal RNA, 404 nt
Filed under: Actinomycetes bacterium
Lineage: Bacteria; Bacillati; Actinomycetota; Actinomycetes
Description: Actinobacteria bacterium partial 16S ribosomal RNA
Rfam family: Bacterial small subunit ribosomal RNA
Source: RNAcentral